GCAGCUGUAGUAUAAUGGUUUAAGUAUGUCUGAUUGCCAGUCAGGAGAUAUGAGUUCGAUUCUCAUUAGCUGCAC
This 75-nucleotide transfer RNA is filed under the name Ignavibacteriaceae bacterium. RNAcentral's name for it is "tRNA-Gly". It matches the Rfam family "tRNA". Rfam says of the family: Transfer RNA (tRNA) molecules are approximately 80 nucleotides in length. Their secondary structure includes four short double-helical elements and three loops (D, anti-codon, and T loops). Lineage: Bacteria; Pseudomonadati; Ignavibacteriota; Ignavibacteria; Ignavibacteriales; Ignavibacteriaceae. The record is from RNAcentral.